GAGUAGCUGGUAUUACAGGCGUGUGCCACAAAGCCUGGCUAAGUUUUGUAUUUUUAGUAGAGACGGGGUUUCACCAUGUUGGCCAGGUUGGUCUCGAACUCCUGACCUCAAGUGAUCCACUCACUUUGGCCUUUCAACGUGCUGGGAUUACAGGCGAGAGUCACCGCACCCGGACGACUCUGACAUUUUUGAAGAGUCCAGAAUCCUGUUACACCUGGGAUUUAGGCACUUUCAAUCUGAAAAAAUACAUAUCCUUUCAGCACUCUGGACGGACUUGAGAACUGUCCUUACGUGACCUAAAGCUGGAGUAUUUUGAGAUUGGAGAAUUAAGGCCAACAGAGAUUUUGAGAAACACAUUGAAGGAUCUGUUAACACUUGAUAUACCCAAUAAAAGCAGUGGUUGUGCCAGUGCUGAUCUGUCUUGAUGUGAAUGUGAACAAUGGGAACCUGAGCUGAGCAGUUAAUGCUAGGGUGACAGAAACUGGACCUCUCCCAAGACAUGUGACAGAGUAAUACAGCAGCCAACUUCUUCGCCAAAUUAAAGUUUUACAAGAUUUAACCUGUCAUCAAGACCUGGGAUUUUGGUGAAGGACAGAAUAACGGGCUCCCAGAUUCACAAGCCCCACCAAGAGGAUCACCCCAGGAACGCUUGGAGGCUGAGGAGUUCACUGAGGCUACUGCAUCUUGAGACUCAGGAUGAAGACCCAGCUUGGGGCUGUCAAAGGUUUUUUGCAUGUCUGACACCCAUGACUCCACCUGGACCUUAUGGCUCCACCCAGAAGCAAUUCAGCCCAACAGGAGGACAGCUUCAACCCAUUACGAUUUCAUCUCUGCCCCAACCACUCAGCAGCAAGCACCUGUUACCUGUCCACCCCCACCCCUUCCCCCAAACUGCCUUUGAAAAAUCCCUAACCUAUGAGCUUUGAAUAAGAUGAGUACGAACUUCAUCGCCCACGUGGCGUGGCCGGCCUCGUGUCUAUUAAAUUCUUUUUCUACUACAA
RNAcentral lists this long non-coding RNA (1001 nucleotides) under Homo sapiens (human). Its description in RNAcentral is "HSALNT0350064". The stretch from base 202 to 331 matches the Rfam family "Pvt1 oncogene conserved region 5". Lineage: Eukaryota; Metazoa; Chordata; Mammalia; Primates; Hominidae. The record is from RNAcentral.